Molecule: ribosomal RNA, 150 nt
Filed under: Thaxterogaster multiformis
Lineage: Eukaryota; Fungi; Basidiomycota; Agaricomycetes; Agaricales; Cortinariaceae
Description: Cortinarius multiformis 5.8S ribosomal RNA
Rfam family: 5.8S ribosomal RNA
About the family: 5.8S ribosomal RNA (5.8S rRNA) is a component of the large subunit of the eukaryotic ribosome. It is transcribed by RNA polymerase I as part of the 45S precursor that also contains 18S and 28S rRNA. Functionally, it is thought that 5.8S rRNA may be involved in ribosome translocation.
Source: RNAcentral
UUUCAGCAACGGAUCUCUUGGCUCUCGCAUCGAUGAAGAACGCAGCGAAAUGCGAUAAGUAAUGUGAAUUGCAGAAUUCAGUGAAUCAUCGAAUCUUUGAACGCACCUUGCGCUCCUUGGUAUUCCGAGGAGCAUGCCUGUUUGAGUGUC